RNAcentral lists this ribosomal RNA (428 nucleotides) under uncultured archaeon. RNAcentral's name for it is "bacterial SSU rRNA". It matches the Rfam family "Archaeal small subunit ribosomal RNA", at positions 926 to 1353 of the family's 1478-position model. The record is from RNAcentral.
CUCACCGGGGGUGACAGCAAGAUGUAGGUCAAGCUAAAGACUUUACCUGAAUCGCUGAGAGGAGGUGCAUGGCCGUCGUCAGUUCGUACUGUGAAGCAUCCUGUUAAGUCAGGCAACGAGCGAGACCCGUGCCCACUGUUCCCAGCAUGUCCUUCGGGAUGAUGGGUACUCUGUGGGGACCGCUGGUGCUAAACCAGAGGAAGGUGCGGGCUACGGUAGGUCAGUAUGCCCCGAAUCUCCCGGGCUACACGCGGGCUACAAUGGUUGGGACAAUGGGUCCCUACCCCGAAAGGUGAUGGUAAUCUCUUAAACCCAACCGUAGUUCGAAUCGAGGACUGUAACUCGUCCUCGUGAAGCUGGAAUCCGUAGUAAUCGCGUUUCAACAUAGCGCGGUGAAUACGUCCCUGCUCCUUGCACACACCGCCCGU